This 535-nucleotide ribosomal RNA is filed under the name Melipona asilvai. RNAcentral's name for it is "partial 16S ribosomal RNA". The stretch from base 383 to 535 matches the Rfam family "Bacterial large subunit ribosomal RNA", at positions 2473 to 2626 of the family's 2925-position model. Lineage: Eukaryota; Metazoa; Arthropoda; Insecta; Hymenoptera; Apidae. The record is from RNAcentral.
CAAAACAUGUCUUAUUGAAAAUAAUUUUAAGUCGAUCUGCCCAAUGAUAUAAUUAAAUGGCUGCAGUAUAAUUAACUGUGCAAAGGUAGCAUAAUCAAUUGGUUUUUAAAUGAAAUCUAGGAUGAAAGGAUUAAUGAAAUAUAUACUGUCUCAUAUAUAUAUUAUGAAUUUAAACUUUUAAUAAAAAUGUUAAAAUUUUUUUAUGGGACGAUAAGACCCUAUAGAAUUUUAUAUAAAAUUAUUUUUAUAUUAAUAUAAAAUUUAAUUUUAUAUUUAAUUGGGAGAAUUAUUAAAUUUAAUAAAUUUUAAUUAAAAAUAACUUUAAUUUAAGAAAAUUAAAAUUGAUCUUUAAUUUAAAAUUUAUAGAAUAAAUUACCUUAGGGAUAACAGCGUUAUAUUUUUUUAUAGAUCUUAUAGAAAAAAAUGAUUGCGACCUCGAUGUUGAAUUAAGAUAAAUUUUAAAUGUAGAAGUUUAAUAAUUAAGUCUGUUCGACUUUUAAAAUCUUACAUGAUUUGAGUUCAAAUCGACGUAAGU